CGUAGGCGGAUGCUUAAGUCAGAUGUGAAAGCCCCGGGCUCAACCUGGGAAUUGCAUUUGAAACUGGGUAUCUAGAGUUUGAUAGAGGCGAGUAGAAUUCCUAGUGUAGCGGUGAAAUGCGUAGAUAUUAGGAGGAAUACCAGUGGCGAAGGCGGCUCGCUGGAUCAAAACUGACGCUGAGGUACGAAAGCGUGGGGAGCAAACG
Molecule: ribosomal RNA, 205 nt
Filed under: uncultured bacterium
Lineage: Bacteria
Description: partial 16S ribosomal RNA
Rfam family: Bacterial small subunit ribosomal RNA
Source: RNAcentral